UACAAUGGUCGGAACAGAGGGUUGCCAACCCGCGAGGGGGAGCUAAUCCCAGAAAACCGAUCGUAGUCCGGAUUGCACUCUGCAACUCGAGUGCAUGAAGCUGGAAUCGCUAGUAAUCGCGGAUCAGCAUGCCGCGGUGAAUACGUUCCCGGGUCUUGUACACACCGCCCGUCACACCAUGGGAGUGGGUUUUACCAGAAGUGGCUAGUCUAACCGCAAGGAGGACGGUCACCACGGUAGGAUUCAUGACUGGGGUGAAGUCGUAACAAGGUAGCCGUAUCGGAAGGUGCGGUUGGAUCACCUCC
RNAcentral lists this ribosomal RNA (305 nucleotides) under Burkholderia cepacia. Its description in RNAcentral is "partial 16S ribosomal RNA". It matches the Rfam family "Bacterial small subunit ribosomal RNA", at positions 1226 to 1530 of the family's 1533-position model. The record is from RNAcentral. Lineage: Bacteria; Pseudomonadati; Pseudomonadota; Betaproteobacteria; Burkholderiales; Burkholderiaceae.